This 868-nucleotide ribosomal RNA is filed under the name uncultured Pseudomonadota bacterium. RNAcentral's name for it is "bacterial SSU rRNA". It matches the Rfam family "Bacterial small subunit ribosomal RNA", at positions 154 to 1018 of the family's 1533-position model. Lineage: Bacteria; Pseudomonadati; Pseudomonadota. The record is from RNAcentral.
AAAGAUGCGCUAAUACCGCAUAAUCUCUAAGGAGAAAAGCAGGGGAUCGCAAGACCUUGCGCUUUUGGAGCGGCCGAUGUCUGAUUAGCUAGUUGGUGAGGUAAAGGCUUACCAAGGCUUCGAUCAGUAGCUGGUCUGAGAGGACGACCAGCCACACUGGGACUGAGACACGGCCCAGACUCCUACGGGAGGCAGCAGUGGGGAAUUUUGGACAAUGGGGGCAACCCUGAUCCAGCCAUGCCGCGUGAGUGAAGAAGGCCUUCGGGUUGUAAAGCUCUUUCAGCCGGAACGAAAAGGUUACGGUUAAUACCCGUGACUAAUGACGGUACCGGAAGAAGAAGCACCGGCUAACUACGUGCCAGCAGCCGCGGUAAUACGUAGGGUGCGAGCGUUAAUCGGAAUUACUGGGCGUAAAGCGUGCGCAGGCGGUUUUGUAAGUCAGAUGUGAAAUCCCCGGGCUUAACCUGGGAACUGCGUUUGAAACUACAAGGCUAGAGUGUGGCAGAGGGGGGUGGAAUUCCACGUGUAGCAGUGAAAUGCGUAGAGAUGUGGAGGACCACCGAUGGCGAAGGCAGCCCCCUGGGUUAACACUGACGCUCAGGCACGAAAGCGUGGGGAGCAAACAGGAUUAGAUACCCUGGUAGUCCACGCCCUAAACGAUGUCAACUAGUUGUCGGGUCUUAACGGGCUUGGUAACGCAGCUAACGCGUGAAGUUGACCGCCUGGGGAGUACGGUCGCAAGAUUAAAACUCAAAGGAAUUGACGGGGACCCGCACAAGCGGUGGAUUAUGUGGAUUAAUUCGAUGCAACGCGAAAAACCUUACCUACCCUUGACAUGUACCGAAGCCCGCCGAGAGGUGGGCGUGCC